RNAcentral lists this ribosomal RNA (254 nucleotides) under uncultured prokaryote. Its description in RNAcentral is "partial 16S ribosomal RNA". It matches the Rfam family "Bacterial small subunit ribosomal RNA", at positions 524 to 777 of the family's 1533-position model. The record is from RNAcentral.
UACGGAGGAUGCGAGCGUUAUCCGGAUUUAUUGGGUUUAAAGGGUGCGUAGGCGGCCGAGUAGGUCAGCGGUGAAAUUUUGCAGCUUAACUGUAACAGUGCCGUUGAUACUGGGGAGCUAGGAUUUGGUUGCUGUGGGUGGAAUGUGUGGUGUAGCGGUGAAAUGCUUAGAGAUCACACAGAAUAUCGAUUGCGAAGGCAGCUCACAAAGCCAAGAUUGACGCUGAGGCACGAAAGUGUGGGGAUCAAACAGGA